GGUGGGGAUGACGUCAAGUCCUCACUGGCCCUUAUAGGUGGGGCUACACACGUCAUACAAUGGUCGGUACAGAGGGUUGCCAACCCGCGAGGGGGAGCUAAUCCCACAAAGCCGAUCGUAAGUCCGGAUCGCAGUCUGCAACUCGACUGCGUGAAGUCGGAAUCGCUAGUAAUCGUGGAUCAGCAUGUCACGGUGAAUACGUUCCCGGGUCUU
RNAcentral lists this ribosomal RNA (213 nucleotides) under uncultured Rhodocyclaceae bacterium. RNAcentral's name for it is "partial 16S ribosomal RNA". It matches the Rfam family "Bacterial small subunit ribosomal RNA", at positions 1172 to 1382 of the family's 1533-position model. The record is from RNAcentral. Lineage: Bacteria; Pseudomonadati; Pseudomonadota; Betaproteobacteria; Rhodocyclales; Rhodocyclaceae.